This 200-nucleotide ribosomal RNA is filed under the name uncultured bacterium. RNAcentral's name for it is "partial 16S ribosomal RNA". It matches the Rfam family "Bacterial small subunit ribosomal RNA", at positions 524 to 723 of the family's 1533-position model. The record is from RNAcentral.
UACGGAGGGUGCGAGCGUUGUCCGGAAUCAUUGGCGUAAAGGGCGCGUAGGUGGCCGGGUCAGUUCGUGGUGAAGCGCGGGCUCAAACCCUGCGUCGGCCAUGAAUACUGCCGCGGCUGGAGCACUGUAGAGGCAGGCGGAAUUCCGGGUGUAGGCGGUGGAAUGCGUAGAGAUCCGGAAGAACGACCGGUGGCGAGGCG